This 253-nucleotide ribosomal RNA is filed under the name uncultured bacterium. Its description in RNAcentral is "partial 16S ribosomal RNA". It matches the Rfam family "Bacterial small subunit ribosomal RNA", at positions 524 to 776 of the family's 1533-position model. The record is from RNAcentral.
UACGUAGGGGGCUAGCGUUGUCCGGAUUUAUUGGGCGUAAAGAGCGUGUAGGCGGCCAGAUAGGUCUGCUGUGAAAACUCGAGGCUCAACCUCGAGAUGUCGGCGGAAACCAUUUGGCUAGAGUCCGGAAGAGGAAAGUGGAAUUCCUGGUGUAGCGGUGAAAUGCGCAGAUAUCAGGAAGAACACCAAUGGCGAAAGCAGCUCUCUGGGACGGUACUGACGCUGAGACGCGAAAGCGUGGGGAGCGAACAGG